ACAUUGCUGUUGUAUGGUGGAAAGGCUCUGGAACCAGAAGCUGAAGGAUAACUUGUAGUUAUUCACACCCGGGCUGAGCUGCUGGCUUGCCUUCCUUUCUGUGUACUUCCUCGGAAUCUGCAUGUUACAACGACCAGCUGGAAGUUCAGACCCUUUGUGUAUUUAAAAAGCUGUUGUACCUUUCUCCUUGGGUUGUUAGCUACCUAAGGAGCUGGCAAGUUGUCCGUCAUUUCUCAAAACUCGGCUCCCCGAUUCGCAGAGCAGUGCCACCAAAAGCUGCACUUAUUCUAUUAUACGCGGUGCUUCACCCUCCACAAGAAAUGCAUUUUUGUUGCUUUUCCUUUAUGGGUCAAUCUGGGAAUCGAGUUGUGUCUGUAGGAACCUGGAACAGCAGCGCCUGCCUCGCGGCACAGCAGGAGAGCUCUGGGGCUGUGCACGCCCAGGUCCGGCCCUAUUUGUGGUGGUGAUGGGACGACCGUGCUCAUGUGUGCUUCAGGAAGACAGGCAGCUUGAUCAGAAGCCCAGCAAAAUCACGGUGUAUAUACAUGUAAUAUGAAUCAUGACUCAGAUGCUCGGUAGCACGGCCACUUAGCUCUGGUUGAGAAGCAGCAGGGUAAGGCCCUGUUCUGCAGGGGGCUGCAAAUGCCCUGCAUGGGGGCUGGGGAAAGCAGAGCUCGCUGCUGCACCACAGCCACGUCUCUCGGGCCUCCGAACAGCCCUGCCCUGAACAUGCCUCAGCAGGGAGCGAGGCAAAGCCUCCAGCCCUGGAGAACAAGCGGAGCUCCACCAAAACGAGCAGGCUUACACCGAAAUAAAGCUGACGCGAAACUGCAAGGAGCCAGCACAAUCAGUGUGAUAGUUAUCUUGGGAUGAUGGGAGAGAACGCCUCAAAGCGAAAUUCUGAGCUAGAGAAACAAAGAUAAAAUUAAAAAAUUGAAGGAUUUUCAUUUUUA
Molecule: long non-coding RNA, 953 nt
Organism: Cygnus olor (mute swan)
Lineage: Eukaryota; Metazoa; Chordata; Aves; Anseriformes; Anatidae
Exons: 3
Source: RefSeq, a predicted model, not a curated record